AGCGAACGCUGGCGGCGUGCCUAACACAUGCAAGUCGAACGCGAAAGCCCGCAAGGGUAAGUAGAGUGGCGCACGGGUGAGUAACACGUGGACAACCUGCCUUCGAGUGGGGAAUAACCUUCCGAAAGGAGGGCUAAUACCGCAUAACACCUCGGGACACAAGUUCUGGGGUUGAAAAGAGCAAUUUGCUCGAAGAGGGGUCCGCGCCUGAUUAGCUAGUUGGUGAGGUAACGGCUCACCAAGGCUUCGAUCAGUAGCCGUCCUGAGAGGGAGCACGGCCACACUGGAACUGAGACACGGUCCAGACUCCUACGGGAGGCAGCAGUGGGGAAUUUUGGCAAUGGGCGAAAGCCUGACCAAGCAACGCCGCGUGGGUGAUGAAGUAUCUUGGUACGUAAAACCCUUUCGGCAGGGACGAACCUAAUGACGGUACCCGCGGAAGAAGCCCCGGCUAACUCCGUGCCAGCCGCCGCCGU
This 476-nucleotide ribosomal RNA is filed under the name uncultured bacterium. Its description in RNAcentral is "bacterial SSU rRNA". It matches the Rfam family "Bacterial small subunit ribosomal RNA", at positions 29 to 521 of the family's 1533-position model. The record is from RNAcentral.